GAUGAACGCUAGCGAUAGGCCUAACACAUGCAAGUCGCGGGGCAGCACGGGAGUAGCAAUACAACUGGUGGCGACCGGCGCACGGGUGAGUAACGCGUAUGUAAUCUACCUACAACAGGGGGAUAACCCGGAGAAAUCCGGACUAAUACCGCAUACAACAGGGGUCCCGCCUGGGCCUAUUUGUUAAAGAUUUAUCGGUUGUAGAUGAGCAUGCGUUCCAUUAGAUAGUUGGUAAGGUAACGGCUUACCAAGCCAGCGAUGGAUAGGGGAACUGAGAGGUUACCCCCCCACACCGAGACUGAGACACGAAGCAAACUGCUACGGGAGGCAGCAGUGAGGAAUAUUGGUCAAUGGACGAGAGCCUGAACCAGCCAAAUCGCGUGAAGGAAGACUGCCUUAUGGGUUGUAAACUUCUUUUACAGGGGAAUAAAAAGACAUACGAGUAUGUCAUUGCAUGUACCCUGUGAAUCAGCAUCGGCUAACUCCGUGCCAGCCGCCGCCGUAA
This 505-nucleotide ribosomal RNA is filed under the name uncultured bacterium. Its description in RNAcentral is "partial 16S ribosomal RNA". It matches the Rfam family "Bacterial small subunit ribosomal RNA", at positions 28 to 523 of the family's 1533-position model. The record is from RNAcentral.